UUGAUCCUGGCUCAGAUUGAACGCUGGCGGCAGGCCUAACACAUGCAAGUCGAGCGGUAACAGGGGAAGCUUGCUUCCCGCUGACGAGCGGCGGACGGGUGAGUAAUGUAUGGGGAUCUGCCCGAUAGAGGGGGAUAACCACUGGAAACGGUGGCUAAUACCGCAUAAUCUCUUAGGAGCAAAGCAGGGGAACUUCGGUCCUUGCGCUAUCGGAUGAACCCAUAUGGGAUUAGCUAGUAGGUGGGGUAAUGGCUCACCUAGGCGACGAUCCCUAGCUGGUCUGAGAGGAUGAUCAGCCACACUGGGACUGAGACACGGCCCAGACUCCUACGGGAGGCAGCAGUGGGGAAUAUUGCACAAUGGGCGCAAGCCUGAUGCAGCCAUGCCGCGUGUAUGAAGAAGGCCCUAGGGUUGUAAAGUACUUUCAGUCGGGAGGAAGGCGUUGAUGCUAAUAUCAUCAACGAUUGACGUUACCGACAGAAGAAGCACCGGCUAACUCCGUGCCAGCAGCCGCGGCAAUACGGAGGGUGCAAGCGUUAAUCGGAAUUACUGGGCGUAAAGCGCACGCAGGCGGUUGAUUAAGUUAGAUGUGAAAUCCCCGGGCUUAACCUGGGAAUGGCAUCUAAGACUGGUCAGCUAGAGUCUUGUAGAGGGGGGUAGAAUUCCAUGUGUAGCGGUGAAAUGCGUAGAGAUGUGGAGGAAUACCGGUGGCGAAGGCGGCC
This 722-nucleotide ribosomal RNA is filed under the name uncultured bacterium. RNAcentral's name for it is "bacterial SSU rRNA". It matches the Rfam family "Bacterial small subunit ribosomal RNA", at positions 13 to 726 of the family's 1533-position model. The record is from RNAcentral.